Long non-coding RNA from Mauremys reevesii (Reeves's turtle), 786 nucleotides. RefSeq lists it as uncharacterized. NCBI's taxonomy places the organism in Eukaryota, Metazoa, Chordata, Testudines, Geoemydidae. The transcript is spliced from 3 exons. The record is from RefSeq and is a predicted model, not a curated record.
UCCAAGGCCCGAAGAGACCAGAGUAUCAUUUAGUCUGAUCUCCUGCACAUCUCAGGCCACAGAACCUCACCCACCCACUCCUAUCAUAGCCCCUAACCUCUGGCAUCCUCCCUUGCAUCUCAUCCCCCCCCCCCCCCCGAUGUGUUAGUAUUACUAAUCAGGUUUAUUACAGUCAUACGGUACCUAAGGGCCAGGACCCGGGAAGCCAUAACACCUUGCCCAAAGAACAAACUGAGGCAAAGAAUGCUGCUGAGUUUACUUUAUUGAUCCAGCCCAACAGAGAGACCGAGAAGCCCUGUGAGCUGCCAGAGCCUGGGGUGAAGGGAGAACGUAUUUCAUAGCAGGGCUCUGCUAGCAGAAAGUGCAAGCAAAAGGGCCACUCUCAGCUCGGCACCACUGGGGAUUUGGCAUUCUCCAUACCGCUUGAGGGAUCUGAUUGUAACUGACUUGCUGUCUCUCUCCCCUGUCUACCGGGAGGAGGUACAAGAAGAGGAGAACAAGGCCAAUUGUAGGAAGCAGAAAAGGCUGCGUGAAAGGCAAAGCUGAGUGUUUUUCCAUAUCUGUCUAUCUGUGAUUGACCUAGAGAUCAGGGGAAAAUGACAAAGAAGAUCUGAAACUCACCUGACCUGCCCCAGUGGCAACACCUGGAACAAAAAACAGAGAAAAAAAGAUAAAAACAAAGCAGCAUCUUUGAUAAACAUCCAUUAGGAAAUAUUAAUCCUAAAGAACAAACAAAUACACUAUCUUAACCCUGGAAACCAACUGUUCUUUCCUGUAUUGAUGGCC